ACUUUUUACUAUAUUUUUACUAAAAUGAGUUAAUUAAUUAAUUUAGGUUUUAUUAGUAUUUUUUAGAAACUAAGAUUUUAUUUUAAACUGAGAAGGUAAGGUAAUAUGUUUAAUAAGAUUUUUAAUAGUACCUUUUGUAUCAGGGUAAAUUCAAUAAAUCAACAAUUUAAUAUUCCCGAAUAAAAAAGUUCUAUAUAAUUAAUUAUUUAUUUGUUUCAAUAAAUUUUUUAAUAUUUAUCUUGUAAUUAAAUGUUAAUCGCUUUUUGUUUAUCUGGUUAUUAAGGAAAUUAAUUUAAUUAAUCAUUAUUUUAAUCAUUUCAUUUUUAUAUUUAUAAUGAAAAGUUAUUAGGGAUAAUCUUUAUAACUAUUAAUAUAAUUUUAAUCUAUUUAAUAUUUAUUAACUUUAAAAUUUUGUAUAACAGUUUAUAUUAAAUUCAUAUUUAUUUUUAAAAUUUUAUUUAUAUUUAUUUUUGUACUUAAUUAAUUAAUUGAAUAUAAUUUUUAUUUAAAUAAUUAUUUAAUUAGUAUAAUUUGAAAUUUAAGUUUAAUGAAUUCGACAAAUAAUUUUUCCAACUGUUUAACAAAAACAUUUCUUUUUGAAAUAUUUAAAAGGUAAAUUCUGCCCUAUGGUUUUCUAAAUGGCUGCAGUAUUUUGACUGUGCAAAGGUAGCAUAGUAAUUAGUUUCUUAAUUAGAAGCUGGUAUGAAUGGAUUAAUGAGAAAGAUAUUUUAUUAAUUUCAUUUUUAUAAAUUAAAUUUUAAGUAAAAAUGCUUAAUUAAUUUCUAGGGACGAUAAGACCCUAUAGAACUUUAUAUAAUAUCAUAUAUUAAUAUAUUUUUAUAAUAAAUAUUAUAUUAAUAUUUAUUAUAAUUUGCUGGGGUGGUAGAUAAAUUUUAACUUUAUAUUUAAAUUUCAAUAAUUAAUGUAAAUAAUGAUCCUUAUGGAAUUUAAGAUUUAGUUACCUUAGGGAUAACAGCGCAAUUUAAGUGGGGAGUUCAUAUCUAUAUUUUAUUUUGCGACCUCGAUGUUGAAUUAAGGAAAGAUUAAGAAGUAGAGUUCUUGUAUCUAAGUCUGUUCGACUUUUAAAUUCUUACAUGAUUUGAGUUCAAACCGGUGUAAGCCAGGUUGGUUUCUAUCUUAGAAUAAUAUAAAUUAUUUAGUACGAAAGGACCAAUAAUUUUUACUUAGGUAAUGAUUUUUAAUAAA
This 1206-nucleotide ribosomal RNA is filed under the name Nephotettix virescens. Its description in RNAcentral is "large subunit ribosomal RNA". Lineage: Eukaryota; Metazoa; Arthropoda; Insecta; Hemiptera; Cicadellidae. The record is from RNAcentral.